This 253-nucleotide ribosomal RNA is filed under the name uncultured bacterium. Its description in RNAcentral is "partial 16S ribosomal RNA". It matches the Rfam family "Bacterial small subunit ribosomal RNA", at positions 524 to 776 of the family's 1533-position model. The record is from RNAcentral.
CACGUAGGGUGCAAGCGUUGUCCGGAAUUAUUGGGCGUAAAGGGCUCGUAGGCGGUCCGUCACGUCGGGAGUGAAAACUCGGGGCUCAACCCCGAGCCUGCUUUCGAUACGGGCGGACUAGAGUGCGGUAGGGGAGACUGGAAUUCCUGGUGUAGCGGUGAAAUGCGCAGAUAUCAGGAGGAACACCGGUGGCGAAGGCGGGUCUCUGGGCCGUAACUGACGCUGAGGAGCGAAAGCAUGGGGAGCGAACAGG